GCUAGCGGCAGGCCUAACACAUGCAAGUCGAGGGGUAACAGGAAAGCUUGCUUUUGCUGACGACCGGCGCACGGGUGCGUAACGCGUAUGCAACCUACCUCAUACUGGAGCAUAGCCCUUGGAAACGGGGAUUAAUACUCCAUGGUAUCAUGAAUUCGCAUGUUUUCAUGAUUAAAGAAUUUCGGUAUGAGAUGGGCAUGCGUCCCAUUAGCUAGUUGGUGAGGUAACGGCUCACCAAGGCGACGAUGGGUAGGGGGCCUGAGAGGGUGGUCCCCCACACUGGUACUGAGACACGGACCAGACUCCUACGGGAGGCAGCAGUGAGGAAUAUUGGUCAAUGGAGGCAACUCUGAACCAGCCAUGCCGCGUGAAGGAUGACGGCCCUAUGGGUUGUAAACUUCUUUUAUAUGGGAAGAAACUUAUCUACGUGUAGAUAACUGACGGUACCAUACGAAUAAGGAUCGGCUAACUCCGUGCCAGCAGCCCGCGGUAAUACGGAGGAUCCAAGCGUUAUCCGGAUUCAUUGGGUUUAAAGGGUCCGUAGGCGGAUUUUUAAGUCAGUGGUGAAAGCCGACAGCUCAACUGUCGAACUGCCAUUGAUACUGGAGAUCUUGAGUACAAAUGAAGUA
RNAcentral lists this ribosomal RNA (629 nucleotides) under uncultured Bacteroidota bacterium. RNAcentral describes it as "bacterial SSU rRNA". It matches the Rfam family "Bacterial small subunit ribosomal RNA", at positions 35 to 659 of the family's 1533-position model. Lineage: Bacteria; Pseudomonadati; Bacteroidota. The record is from RNAcentral.